CAGGAUGAACGCUGGCGGUAUGCUUAACACAUGCAAGUCGAACGGAUUCUUAGGAAUCAGUGGCGGACGGGUGAGUAACACGUGAAAACCUGCCUCUAGGACGGGGAUAACAGAGGGAAACUUCUGCUAAUUCCCGAUGAGCCUGCGGGUAAAAGGAUUUAUCGCCUAGAGAGGGGUUCGCGUCCGAUUAGCUAGUUGGUGGGGUAAAGGCUCACCAAGGCUGCGAUCGGUAGCUGUUCUGAGAGGAAGAACAGCCACACUGGGACUGAGACACGGCCCAGACUCCUACGGGAGGCAGCAGUGGGGAAUUUUCCGCAAUGGGCGAAAGCCUGACGGAGCAAUACCGCGUGAGGGAAGAAGGUCCUUGGAUCGUAAACCUCUUUUCUCAGGGAAGAAGUUCUGACGGUACCUGAGGAAUAAGCCUCGGCUAACUCCGUGCCAGCAGCCGCGGUAAUACGGAGGAGGCAAGCGUUAUCCGGAAUUAUUGGGCGUAAAGCGUUCGCAGGUGGCUGUUCAAGUCUGCUGUCAAAGACCGGAGCUUAACUCCGGAAAGGCGGUGGAAACUGAAGAGCUAGAGUGCGGUAGGGGUAGAGGGAAUUCCCAGUGUAGCGGUGAAAUGCGUAGAGAUUGGGAAGAACACCGGUGGCGAAAGCGCUCUACUAGGCCGCAACUGACACUCAGGGACGAAAGCUAGGGGAGCGAAUGGGAUUAGAUACCCCAGUAGUCCUAGCUGUAAACGAUGGGUACUAGGCGUAGCUUGUAUCGACCCGAGCUGUGCCGAAGCUAACGCGUUAAGUACCCCGCCUGGGGAGUACGCACGCAAGUGUGAAACUCAAAGGAAUUGACGGGGGCCCGCACAAGCGGUGGAGUAUGUGGUUUAAUUCGAUGCAACGCG
This 895-nucleotide ribosomal RNA is filed under the name uncultured organism. RNAcentral's name for it is "bacterial SSU rRNA". It matches the Rfam family "Bacterial small subunit ribosomal RNA", at positions 25 to 963 of the family's 1533-position model. The record is from RNAcentral.